CAGAAUCAAGUGGCACCAAUGAGAAUACAUAUAGUAAUUAGCAAAGAAACUUCAGAACAAGCGCAAAAUACUACAUACCGAUUGCUGAACAUAUCUAAAGAGCCAGAAAUCAGAAUCCUUGCAUUGUUUCUAGCCUGCAUUAUCAAAUAUUAAUUAAAAAUUUGGAAGACCUCAGUUAAAUUGUAAAAGAAACAAUUGGUGUCAAACAAAACAUAAAUAACUAAUUUGCAAAACUUGCACUAAUGCAAAAAAAAAAGUGGGUAGUGAGGAUAAUUUCCCAAUUCAAAUGCAAAUCAUUAAUGACAAACCUAAUGAAAGAAAGUAUCAACCCCCCGUAUAUGUUGCGGAAACACAUAUCAGUAUUUUUGCUCUUCUUUUUUUUGUCGUGUCUGCUUGCAUUAAUCCUCAGAGUUAUCAUAGGCAAAAAUGAAGAGAAUAUUGUUUUUUCAACUAUAAACGAUAAGAUUCGGUAAAUAGUACCCCCCCUCCCCCCUCCCCCCUCCCCAACAAAACAUCACAUUGUCACUUAACCACUAUAAUAAAAGGGCUCUAGCUAGUGAACAAAGGGUGAAAUUUUGGUGUAUAUAAGAUCCUCUAUUACCUCUGUUGCAAAAUUUCAAAGACAUUAGACACCACUACCUAGUUAAAUGUUUAACCACUAUCAAUGUUCUAAAAGGCGCUAGGCGAGAGGCCGGGGGUCUAGCGCCUAAGGGGCCUAGGCGAGAUUUUUUAUUUUAAGUCAAUUUUAAUAUUUUAUCUUACAUUUAUCCAAACAAAACAAUAAUAUAAAGCAAAACAAUCUAUAAUAAAGAUACUAAAGGUCUUUGCUUAAAGUUCAAACACAUAUCCAUAUUGCUAAUGUCAAAGUUCAAACACAAACAUAAAAUUGUUCAAAGUUCAAACAUAUUUUUAACGUAUUAGUUAUAUUCAUAAACAAGAUUGCUAUUAAAUAUUAAAUUUCAAGAAUUUAAUUCAAUAUUAAAACUUAAGAAAAUAAACAUAAAUUUAAGAAUUAUAUUGAAUUAAAUUAAAUAUUACAAAUGUAUCAUUAGUUAUAUAAUUUGAAGUUCGUACAAGUUCAAAAAAUUACAACUAUAAUAAAAUUAUCCAUUUUGACUUGAUAUUGUUCACUUUUUGUUCUGAUUUAAUAUACAACCUAUAUUAUGAAUAUAGUAAAUCAUUAGAAAAAAAAAUAUAUCAAGAUUUGAUUUGGGUAGGCCUAAUUUCUUGGAGGGAUUUUUUUGCCGCCUUGGACCUAGCUGAGGCGCCGGGGGGGCUAGUGCCUAGGCGAGGCGCUAAGGGGGGCCUAGGACCUAGGCGGGAAUUUUUAGAACACCAACCACUAUGCUAGAAGGGCUCUAGCUAGCGAACAAAGGGUGAAUUUUUGGUGUGUAUAAGAUCCUAUAUUACCUAUGUUGCAAAAUUUCAAAGACAUUAGACACCACUAGCUAGCUAAAUGUUUUAUUAAGCUCAAAGAUUCACCGAAACAAUUACUUCCAGUAUACCAGUUGGCCAAAAACAGGACAGGCAGAAACUACAAACUUAAAUCGGCAAAAGUAAUGUUGUUUAGCAGUGUUACUCUAAUUUGCUUCAUAGACAACCAUUAUGCAAACCUGCUGCUAUAAGUUUAAUUGAUAUUGGACAGAAACUGAAAAUUUUAGAUAAGAUUACAAACACAGUAAAAAGUGUAUAUUAAAAUAAUAUCUACUCAAAUCUGUUCGACAUAGAAAAGGCACCAGGUCAACAGACUGUUGUACAUACUACACAGUUCUUUCUCAUAUUAAGCAUAUAGCCCAGGUCAGUACAACACGAUACUAGAAUGAUAUGCUAAUACUGCUCAUUAGAAGUUUCUCUUUCCAGUUUCAGGGUUGGGUAAUAUAAAAUCAACAAUUCUUCUAAAAGGUUAAGCUGUUGGAGAGAGUACAACAAUGUGCAUGCUCCCUCCGUCUCUUAAUAUAAGUCGUUUUAGAGUUGUGCACAAGUAUUAAAGAAAUUAUUGUAUAACAUUAAAUAUAAUAUCAAUUGUCUAUAUUGUCCUUGUAUUGAAAAAAGAAUGUUAUUUAUUAGACAAAAUAGUGAAAGAACUAAAGUUAUAUUUAAUACCUGGGGUAAUAUUGGAAACUAUGCAAUUAAUGCUUACUUGAAAUUCUCAAACGACUUAUAUUAAAGGACGGAGGGAAUAGUGUUUAACCACUCCUCAUUUGCGACAGUGGCAAGAUAAACUAUGGUGCAAUCAGCGCACAAACCAAAUAGAGUACAGGUGUACUCACAACUAUAACGGUAAUCAUGCUAACCUUGUACGAGUUUAUAUGAUAUGUAUUUUAUGCCUUUGAAGUAGGACAUAAAAAAAUCGUACCAAGGAAAAAGAGAACUAAUGUUUACGAGCAAAUCAAAUUUUGAUGGUCAAGCCUUCACCAAUUAGAACUUUCAAAUUUUAUUCAAUAAUAACAUUUUCAAAAAGAUCAAUUAUUAUUCAACUGAUUAUGGAAAACAAACUCGGGAAGCCACAUAACAGAAACAAACCUGCACAAUUGAAACUAAUGAGAUAGCAGAUCCAGCAAGGGCGGGAGGAUUUGAUAACUUAAACUUGGGAUUAGCAGAAUAUGCUGAUGGGGAACCUGAGAGAACCUUCAAAACCUACAAAUGGAUUGGAUACAUGAAGAAGCAUCACCACAAAGCCAUCAGCCAAUUAAGCAUUUUGAACUACAUAGAAUUCUAUCUGAAACAUCAUAUUGAGUAUGCAAAAGAUUAAACACAAACUACUUAACCUUACCAAACUGUUGGCUGGAUUUAAUGAAUGCCCAAUCCCUUUGAAAAGUACAGGGGCCUGCUUCAUGCAAUAGAGAAGCCAUUCAGAAUUGCCAACACUGAUUUUAUUUGUUCCCUUUUAGAUGCAGUGUUUAGAUAUCAAUGGUUAAAAGGAUAAAUAUGAUUUUGUUAUAAAUCCUUUGAAGUUAAACAUGGUUACAGAUGUUGAUACAGGUAAAUAAUGGUAAAACCAUAAAAAUGAACAAUUUGAAGAACUUAUUUCAAUUAAAUGAAUUGCAAAAUACUUAUCCAAUUUUAGGUAAGGAACUUAUAUGCAUAAAUCGAUACAUAAGAAUCAAAAAGAUAUAUAGAAAGAUGUGGCAAAAAGAAUACACACAAGUGAUUCCAGCAUAAGCAAUUAUAAUCAAGACAGACUUGUUGAUUACAGAACUAACCUCAAUUCUUGUACUUCCCAAAAUCACAUCAGAUUGAAUGAAAUUAUCAGAGGCAAUCAAUGUAUGAUCUCCCUCAGUUUCCGAAACCGCAAAGUUUGUGUGAUCAAUAACCAUGGCAGAGAAAUCCUUUAAUGUCAAACAAAUAACAUGAGACUUAUAAUUAACGCAAACAAAAUAAUUACAGUAAAAUGAUGGACAAAAGUGAAAUGACAAAGAACGGACAUUUGAUUUAAUCUUUCCCAAGAAAGAUCAACUUGACAUGUCAGCUCUAUAAUUACCUGGAAUUUCUAUGAAGUGGACAUACUAUGAUUAAGAUCGUUAGCAAAAUCAGCUUUAGGCAGGGCAUAAAUGUUAAAUUACUAACUUCUUCUCUAAUUCCCAAUUUUCGUAGGCCUACUUUAAAAUUAUUAUCUAUAACCCAGCUGUUAAUGAAGGGGCAGCUAUUUGCACAAGUAAAGAACUAGUUCGGUUUUCAAAAUGCACAAUUGUCAGAAACUUUAGUGCAACACAAUACAUCAAGUUUGAAUUCCCAACAGUCUGGUUCAUUCUGCAUAGCAAUCGGAUCAUAUCCAGAUUAAAUUCCAUGAAGUGUAAGGAAUAUACGUUAACAUUAAAGGAUUAUGAAACUUUCACGUUCACAAAUAAAUGAAGUAGAGAGAGAAAGCAAAACUCGCCUCAUCAAAAUCAACACCACACUCGGCCGCAAUGUUGCGGAUCAAAUCAGAGGCGUUGGCAUCCGCGGCUACAAUCAAGUCGUGGCCCGAAUCAACAAAAUCUAAAACAGCCGCCAAAUCCAGCGAUCCUCCAAACCCUAACAAAGAUGGCAAAUCUCAAUCAGCCAAAAUAAAUACGCUGCAACUUGUUUCUCAACAUGUAAAUAUAACUUAACUUACGUUCCGUGGUGGGAGAAAAGAGAAUGAGGGCGUCAUACAAAUACUGGCCGUAUCUUUGGAGAGAGAUAUUUGGAUCGUCGGAGAGCUUGAAAUGGAGCUCAAAACCACGAUUUUGAAGAGAAUUGAAGAAGAUUGAGUGGGAAGACUUGAGAGCCAAGUCGUCGAGUAAUACUAAAAUGAGUCGAUCUGUUGGGUUUUCCGGGGAGAAUGAGUGGAUGACUAUUGGGAGGAGAGAGAUUAACA
This 4339-nucleotide long non-coding RNA is filed under the name Panax ginseng (ginseng). RNAcentral's name for it is "long non-coding RNA (PGIN_LNC007936)". The record is from RNAcentral. Lineage: Eukaryota; Viridiplantae; Streptophyta; Magnoliopsida; Apiales; Araliaceae.